AUACAAAGGCUUGGCUUAUACUGCAAAGUUUGGGAUCCACAGUCUACAAAACCCCACAGCUCCUGAGAAUUCUCUCGCCUGCUUUCGACCCUUAGGCUCUGGUAGAUUGCAAAUAACCUGCUUUCUUUCUGUUCCCGGGCGGCGUGGGACCCCUGUCGGAUAGUCAAUCCCAAUUAAGGCUCUGGUAGAUUGCAAAUGACCUGCUUACUUUCUGUUCCCGGGCUGCGUUCUGACACCUGUUGGACAGUAAAUCCCAAGAUAACUUCAGGAAGUGGGUAUUAAUUCUCACUGUAUAAGUGAAGACAUUAAGCACCAGAGUUUAAGUAGCUUGGUAAGUGUUAUUCCAGUAAUUAAAUAGGCAUAAAUAGAGUUCAACUUUCUCAGUUCUAUCUAUAAUUUCUCUCUAUGUAUGGGCUUAUUUAUAUCAACCAGUAUACACCUUGGUUUUGG
This 450-nucleotide long non-coding RNA is filed under the name Homo sapiens (human). Its description in RNAcentral is "HSALNT0203009". Lineage: Eukaryota; Metazoa; Chordata; Mammalia; Primates; Hominidae. The record is from RNAcentral.